This is a long non-coding RNA of Oreochromis niloticus (Nile tilapia), 4064 nucleotides long. Lineage: Eukaryota; Metazoa; Chordata; Actinopteri; Cichliformes; Cichlidae. The record is from Ensembl.
AAGCAAUGUGUGCGUCAUCCCACAAAUGAUUUCAUCUCUGGUCUCGAGGUCACCUGGGGUUGGAUAGUAGAAAAACAUCACCUUCCUUUAUAGAACGUGGUGAUGUAUCUGUUCAGGAAUAGACAACACCCACUUCCCUCUCAGAAACAAGUUGGUCAUUUGUGGGAAGAAGAAAGUGUUACUCAAGCUCUACCCACGCAGUCAUCACAAAAACUCAUGUUGUUUUCGUGAUGACUAACGAGAAGAUUGCUACCAGCAACAUUCACUGCCUCUGUCCAUUUUUGAUCUUUUCAUAAUUCAAAUUCCUGGAAUUAGGAGAUGGACUCUCUCUGAAAAAAACAUUUGGGAAGCCGGUAAAUGUGAAGACUUUCAGUGAUUCCUCUAAAAGUGUUGCCUUUUUCUUCACUGUAGGUCUUCAGACCUGGAAAAUAAUGGAAGUACAUAAAAAGUAGUAAUAAUCCUCAAGUGCGGCGUGCGAACAUCGGGAAAACAAGGAGAAAUUCCAUCAAAGCGAAUGCCGUCACAUCUGGAGGACAGGUGUAGUCCUGUUUCUCGUGUUUCAGAAAUUUCUCCUUAAUUUACUUAUUUAAGAGUGCACCAAAGUGAGAGUGAAGCAGUUAUGCACCUCUGGAUUUGAUAUGGGAAACCAUAGCAAAUGAAAGCACGGCAGGGCAGGUAGGCAAAGGACAACUGCAACAUGUCUGAAGCGUAACCUGUUCUCCGGCUCUCACUUUGAAACCAGAUGAAGAUCGGCUGUGGCCCCGAAGUCAUUACACCUUCAAAGGGCACCCGGGCAGCAGCUGUCAGAAUACACUCGGCUUUGUGUUUAUGUGCGAGAGAAGAGCUGCGUGCCAAGGUCUUUGACCUUAUCAUCCACCUCACUGGUUCCGGAAGAAUCCUUUCCGUCCCCUAGGGCCCCUGUGGCUACCAAAGCUCCAGCCGAUACACGGAGCACAGCAGCAAACCAUCUUCUGCCUCAGACUAACAGCCAAGCGCCACAACCAUUUAGGAGUGAUCCCAGCAGAGCGCCCAAGUGGCUCAACCCGCCAGGUAUGUUCUUAUCAUCCCCAGCACGGGCCCGUGGCCGCUUAGCGGGGCCCGGGGCCUCCCAGAAACCCACAUGUCACAGCAGUACGUACAGUCAGCAGAGCUGCUGCCUCAAAACACACGCGAGUUUCCUGUAAAACGCACACGCAGUAAUCGCCUGCUAACAUAUUUUGUCUUUUUCAGACAGCACCAUAAACACUGGUAACUUUUCAUGAGUGUGAGAGUUACCCAUGGGGUAUCUGAAAGGAAUGCUCCCGCUCUGUGUCCUCUGAAGCAUUCCUCCAUGGUUAGGCAGUUUCAUGCCCACGAGGGGGCCACAAGGGCCUCUUGUCUCCUAAUUUAUCACAGCCUCAGAUGAUGCGCUACAUCCAUGCAAGCACAUACAGUAAACGAACACACAGACAUCUAGGAACAGAUACAAUGCAUCACAUGUUUAUUUAUGCAAGCGCCUCCCAACAUGCAUAGAUUAAAUAAAACGGUAACAGGCAGAUAACACCUGUCGCCACAUUUGGAUUAUGAUUCUCGACUUUCAGAUUGGCUUUUUUCAGAACUAAAUGUUUAAAGAAGCCUAAAAAGGGUUAAGACUUGCAGCAUUAGUAAUGGCAAUGUUCUACUUGGCACUUUAAAUGGUUUUACACACAUAAUCAUGGUAAAACUGAAUAUUUUAUGGGCCAUGUAAGUCCUUGACUUUGAUGUAAGCUCAUACCCUUUGACUGGUUGAAUGUUGCCAUCGCAAAAAAGCCAGCAAUCAGGGAGAAAAGGGCGUAUUAUGAUGACAUGUCACAGCCUCUCGCUUUGGGCCUCAGAAGAAAGGAGCUUUGAGAUGUCAGAAAUUUGGAGAGAUGGAGACGCUGUGUCACUCUAACAGAAGAAAACCACCACCGAGUUGUAAAUGGAGAAUUAAGGAGAAAAAUCUGACAUAAUCCUGACAUACUGUCGCAGGGACACUUUAGACAAAUGCAGACAACUCCACCCCAGACAAACAUUACCAUGAACCACAAACUUAUCAGAGCUAUGUGAACAUCCAGCUCUCUUUAAAGUAGACAGCCACAUAGAUCAGGCAUUCCUAGAAAUUUACAAAGGGAAUAACCUCAGUUAUAUUUAAUCAUAAUGGGUCAGUUUUGUCAUUGACAGUCCCACUGAUUAUUAAUUAAUUUGUCAAAUUUAACAAAAAAGAUGAAGAUCCAUCAUGGCAGUCACAGGUGCUUCUACUGACAUUGACUGUGGAUGUAUUUAAGCCAUGCCGAGUGCCCGAUCCCACGCGCAGCGCUGUCCAAAGACCAGGCAGGAGCUGGAGACAGAUCAGUCUCCGUCUCCUGGGAAAAGCUUCUCACUGCGGAGCUUCUCCAAAGCGUCUGGACUGGCUGUCGACACUCCCUGCCUUUAAUGUAUGAUCAAGAAAAGCUUUAACUCAUUACUCUCUACAACGCCCCUCCCCAUUCUUGUCCUAACUGCUUUCGUAUGUUUAAUAAUACCGACUUCAGAUGAAUUUGUUCCACUAACAUGCAUAAGGAGGGGAGGAAAAAAAAAGUCAGUGACAGAUCCAAGAUAGUAAUCUUUUUUAUUUCGUGCGCAAGAAUCAACUGUUGGGAAAGAUCCAUUUCAAUUUGAGUAAAUCUCCACAAAGGCUACGCACAAAAAGAAACCCUUUACAAAUUUUUUUCUUCUCUGGUGACGACUUAAGCUGUGCUCAAGUUUUUUUCUUUUCUUUUUUUUACAAGAAAGUGUGGUCUGGAAGUUACCCCUGGGAAACACAAAUCCAGCGUGAGCCUUACUAAAAUGAUGCUGGGUCAAAUUCCAGGUGUCGUGUCCUUGAACACCUAUUCAGGGCUGGAUUCUUGGUUUUAGCCUAAGUUGGUUCCAGCUGUAAAAGUGAGUAGCAUUCGUAAGUCACCCAAGAGCCCCACAAAUAAAUACUGUGAGGUGUUGCACAGCUAUGCUGACUCACAGCAAGGACACGUUGGUCAAACACACUGCUGGUGGAAAACCAUCAGAGCCGCUCAGGUUAGAAAACCCCACAUUACCCUCUUCCUUGUAGGCCGAGCUUCACCCCCCACCCACCCCCUCCCUGUGCUGUGAUGAAAGUAGAGAGAGCACCUCCACUACUCGCCUCUUUUGUUUAUUUACCUUCAGAAUUACACCCUGCUCUUCUUGGACCAUGUUCCAAUGUGUUUUGUUAUGUUUCCCUUCAAAUAGAACAUCUACGCGUGUGGUCUCUGGCCGUGUUUGGCUAACACACGCACACGUACGUGCACACACACUCCCAUUCAACUUUCCCCCUGUGCCAGAGGUCCCCUUUGCCCUCCCCCCCUCCUCUAACUAAACAUCGCAGGACAGCAAAAGGGAACUUCAAAGUGGCCGGAGGGGUACUCCUUUUUUCCUGGCACUUGUCAUCAUCUAAGGGACUGGCUGCUCCCCUUAUUACUCUAAUUGCUUCCAACUGCUCCCGGAGGCUUUGAUGAAGGGCGCCAUGGAGCAUGCUGGAAGCACCUGUUGUUGCACACAGGAGCACAGGUGGCCCUUAUUGGUGGUGGCGUGGUAGCGUGCGGAUUGCAAUGGUGCUUCCUGCUAAAAUCAUGCAGCUCUAAUAAAAACAUAAUCUCAAUGUUAUCUCAGAUUUGGGGAUUUAUGAAACUGCAAUAAUACUGAAAAAAGAACUUUUAGCUGGUGGAACUGUGGAAGGGAUCUGUUGAUCGAGAGACAUCUCAGCAGCACUCUGGCUCCAUCUUGUGGUAUCACUGUGCUAGAAGUCCAGAAGCUGUGUUGGAGAAAAUUGAGAAAUACAAGAUUGUCAGACAGCAGACAUAAAAGUCUUUUGUAGAAAGGUUAAAUACAUUUGAGAUUAACGAUAGCUCUCAUAGCAUCUACACAUUUAAGGUUUUCGUAUACGUAUCCCCAGAUAAGAUUUGUAUUACCACUCCAUUUCAAAUCAUCACAUUUUUACAACAUUUUCUACUCAGCCAUCUCCAAUUUGCCUAAAAGUGUGAACAUAUAUAAUGACUGCUGCAACAUUUCAG